Molecule: unclassified non-coding RNA, 281 nt
Filed under: Canarium pilicarpum
Lineage: Eukaryota; Viridiplantae; Streptophyta; Magnoliopsida; Sapindales; Burseraceae
Description: partial external transcribed spacer
Source: RNAcentral
CAUGAGCCCUGCCGAGCCGUGAGGCCGCGGGCCUAAAGACGGGUGCAGCAGUCGUUCGUCUCGUUGGACAAAAUGCCUCGCUUGACCGGAUGGAGUGCCUCCGAUGAKCCACCCACCCGCAGCACAUAACAUUCCGAAUCCGAGAGCACGGGCGAAGAGCCUCGUGCGCCGAGGCAGCCAUGCAGCUGGGCUAGGCGUGCCGGGGACACGAGGCUUGCCUGGCGUCCGACCCACCACCCGUGAGGGCGUGGGACGGAGAUAAACAAACGAACCCUCUAAUU